AUCGCUUCUCGGCCUUUUGGCUAAGAUCAAGUGUAGUAUCUGUUCUUAUCAGUUUAAUAUCUGAUACGUCCCCCAUCCAGGGAACUACAUAUUAAAUGGAUUUUUAGAUCACGGAGCUGGAGCCGGGGCUUGCUCCGUCCAUUCCACGCAUCGGCCUGGUAUUGCAGUGUCUCCAGGAACGGUGUGCUUUCC
Molecule: small nuclear RNA, 192 nt
Organism: Carassius carassius (crucian carp)
Lineage: Eukaryota; Metazoa; Chordata; Actinopteri; Cypriniformes; Cyprinidae
Product: U2 spliceosomal RNA
Exons: 1
Source: RefSeq, a predicted model, not a curated record